AUUGACUAGGUUCCUGCAAUUCUUGCUCGCGACCAUUCAUCCGGGUCCGCCGUGUGUACUGCGCCCUUUAGUCCAAGAGAGGCCCGUCAAAAACUCACCCAAUAAAGUGAUUCUUUCAAAGAAGAUGCUCAUCGGUGUUUCACAGUCGGUCAACGGCGAAACUUUUGAACCGCAAUACACGGCAUAUCUUCAACUUCACGAGGUCGACAUUGUUAUAUAUAGCGCUCUCAUUCCUUCUACAUCUGUAUCCAUUGUACAACCGCACGACAAUGAGGAGCACGCAUGAUGCAUACCAAGUCCUCUCUCGCCUUCCUUCUUUUCCUAGUCCUUUCAUCUAACACGAUCAUCUCUUCAAGAGUCGCCGACGCCCGCCCGAUGAGCAACGGAGGAAGCCGUGUCGAAAAGCUGGCGGUGAGCAAGAUUGAUGUUUGUGGAAGUCAACCUGUCCAUGCCCCUCAUGGGGCUGGGCCAUGCCCGCCGCCAUUCAAGUGAUUCUCGAUUAUUAGUUUUUCUGUUCGAUUGCUCCUAAUGUAUGUUGGUGUUAAUAAGAAAUGAAUAAUUUGCUUUCUAUGCUCUCCAUGGUUAAUUAGGAUUUUCCACGUACUUUUGUUCAUGGAGCUCGAAUAACUUUUUUGAAUACCCUGCUAUUGGAAAGAAUGUAAAUUGUUUGUUUAUUGAAUUGAUAUCCCUAUGCCUUUUCACCGAA
Molecule: long non-coding RNA, 706 nt
Organism: Syzygium oleosum
Lineage: Eukaryota; Viridiplantae; Streptophyta; Magnoliopsida; Myrtales; Myrtaceae
Exons: 2
Source: RefSeq, a predicted model, not a curated record